RNAcentral lists this ribosomal RNA (917 nucleotides) under uncultured bacterium. RNAcentral's name for it is "bacterial SSU rRNA". It matches the Rfam family "Bacterial small subunit ribosomal RNA", at positions 8 to 916 of the family's 1533-position model. The record is from RNAcentral.
AGAGUUUGAUCCUGGCUCAGAUUGAACGCUGGCGGCAGGCCUAACACAUGCAAGUCGAACGGUAGCACAGAGAGCUUGCUCUUGGGUGACGAGUGGCGGACGGGUGAGUAAUGUCUGGGAAACUGCCCGAUGGAGGGGGAUAACUACUGGAAACGGUAGCUAAUACCGCAUAACGUCGCAAGACCAAAGUGGGGGACCUUCGGGCCUCACACCAUCGGAUGUGCCCAGAUGGGAUUAGCUAGUAGGUGGGGUAAUGGCUCACCUAGGCGACGAUCCCUAGCUGGUCUGAGAGGAUGACCAGCCACACUGGAACUGAGACACGGUCCAGACUCCUACGGGAGGCAGCAGUAGGGAAUCUUCGGCAAUGGACGAAAGUCUGACCGAGCAACGCCGCGUGAGUGAAGAAGGUUUUCGGAUCGUAAAACUCUGUUGGUAGAGAAGAACGUUGGUGAGAGUGGAAAGCUCAUCAAGUGACGGUAACUACCCAGAAAGGGACGGCUAACUACGUGCCAGCAGCCGCGGUAAUACGUAGGUCCCGAGCGUUGUCCGGAUUUAUUGGGCGUAAAGCGAGCGCAGGUGGUUUAUUAAGUCUGGUGUAAAAGGCAGUGGCUCAACCAUUGUAUGCAUUGGAAACUGGUAGACUUGAGUGCAGGAGAGGAGAGUGGAAUUCCAUGUGUAGCGGUGAAAUGCGUAGAUAUAUGGAGGAACACCGGUGGCGAAAGCGGCUCUCUGGCCUGUAACUGACACUGAGGCUCGAAAGCGUGGGGAGCAAACAGGAUUAGAUACCCUGGUAGUCCACGCCGUAAACGAUGAGUGCUAGAUGUAGGGAGCUAUAAGUUCUCUGUAUCGCAGCUAACGCAAUAAGCACUCCGCCUGGGGAGUACGACCGCAAGGUUGAAACUCAAAGGAAUUGACGG